GGUUCCAUAACUCAGUUGGUUAGAGUGUGGUGCUAAUAAAUGGUUUCCUAAUCAUUUGUCACGCCAAAGUCGAGGGUUCGACCCCCUCUGGGACCA
Aspergillus nidulans FGSC A4 is the source of this 96-nucleotide transfer RNA. It matches the Rfam family "tRNA". From Rfam's summary of the family: Transfer RNA (tRNA) molecules are approximately 80 nucleotides in length. The record is from Rfam. NCBI's taxonomy places the organism in Eukaryota, Fungi, Ascomycota, Eurotiomycetes, Eurotiales, Aspergillaceae.